This 72-nucleotide transfer RNA is filed under the name Gracilaria urvillei. RNAcentral describes it as "tRNA-Cys". It matches the Rfam family "tRNA". Rfam says of the family: Transfer RNA (tRNA) molecules are approximately 80 nucleotides in length. Their secondary structure includes four short double-helical elements and three loops (D, anti-codon, and T loops). Lineage: Eukaryota; Rhodophyta; Florideophyceae; Gracilariales; Gracilariaceae. The record is from RNAcentral.
GGCGAUAUAGCCAAGUGGUAAGGCAAAGGAUUGCAAAUCUUUUAUACCCCAGUUCAAAUCUGGGUAUCGCCU